AAAAAAGGAAUGAAAGGAUGAGAAAAGAAUUCAUUAAUUAUAUUUUUUGAGUUUGACAAGACCUUCGGUCUUAUGCCUACGUACCAACAUAAAAAUGAGGGAUCAAAACACCGUAGUUCGUGGUAAAAGACCUUUAAAUGAGGUUGUUAGUUCUUUUUGUCUUUUGAAAUUAAAGUCAAUAUGGUUAAGUUUAUUUUACAAGUUUGAUUAAGAUUUUUUUUUAUAAAUUCAAUGACAUAAGGCCAAAGUUUCUAAUUAUUAAAACAUGUCUAAGUUUGAAAUCACAAGCAAAGAAGGUUUUGAAAAGAGGGAGAUAUUUUGAAAUUAAAGAAGUGGGAGGAGAUGAAGGGACUACCCUAGGCAAAAAUUAAAAUUUAAGAGUUGAAAAGAUCUGACCAAUAGGAUGCAAUCCACAAGACAAGAAUGUCAUAUAGAAACCCAUUUCCUUUGGACUUUUGAGCAAGCAAUCAUCAUAAGCAAACAUCCAAGCAAAUCAUAUGAAGACCAAGGCAUCAAAUAAAGAUAGCCAUAAUAUCCAAG
Molecule: long non-coding RNA, 540 nt
Filed under: Lathyrus oleraceus (garden pea)
Lineage: Eukaryota; Viridiplantae; Streptophyta; Magnoliopsida; Fabales; Fabaceae
Description: Pisum sativum (pea) long non-coding RNA (PSAT_LNC017380)
Source: RNAcentral